RNAcentral lists this unclassified non-coding RNA (248 nucleotides) under uncultured Chaetomiaceae. RNAcentral's name for it is "sequence contains ITS2". The stretch from base 1 to 52 matches the Rfam family "5.8S ribosomal RNA", at positions 103 to 154 of the family's 154-position model. The record is from RNAcentral. Lineage: Eukaryota; Fungi; Ascomycota; Sordariomycetes; Sordariales.
AACGCACAUUGCGCCCGCCAGUAUUCUGGCGGGCAUGCCUGUCCGAGCGUCAUUUCAACCAUCAAGCCCCCGGGCUUGUGUUGGGGACCUGCGGCUGCCCGCAGGCCCUGAAAACCAGUGGCGGGCUCGCUGUCACACCGAGCGUAGUAGCAUCAUCUCGCUCAGGGCGUGCUGCGGGUUCCGGCCGUUAAAAGCCUCCAAUACCCAAGGUUGACCUCGGAUCAGGUAGGAAGACCCGCUGAACUUAA